RNAcentral lists this ribosomal RNA (773 nucleotides) under uncultured Micromonosporaceae bacterium. RNAcentral's name for it is "bacterial SSU rRNA". It matches the Rfam family "Bacterial small subunit ribosomal RNA", at positions 8 to 796 of the family's 1533-position model. The record is from RNAcentral. Lineage: Bacteria; Bacillati; Actinomycetota; Actinomycetes; Micromonosporales; Micromonosporaceae.
AGAGUUUGAUCAUGGCUCAGGACGAACGCUGGCGGCGUGCUUAACACAUGCAAGUCGAGCGGAAAGGCCCUUUCGGGGGUACUCGAGCGGCGAACGGGUGAGUAACACGUGAGUAACCUGCCUCUGGCUUUGGGAUAACCCUCGGAAACGGGGGCUAAUACCGAAUAUUCAGCGUCUGCGGCAUCGUGGGUGUUGGAAAGUUUUUCGGCUAGGGAUGGGCUCGCGGCCUAUCAGCUUGUUGGUGGGGUAAUGGCCUACCAAGGCGGCGACGGGUAGCCGGCCUGAGAGGGCGACCGGCCACACUGGGACUGAGACACGGCCCAGACUCCUACGGGAGGCAGCAGUGGGGAAUAUUGCGCAAUGGGCGAAAGCCUGACGCAGCGACGCCGCGUGAGGGAUGAAGGCCUUCGGGUUGUAAACCUCUUUCAGCAGGGACGAAGCGAAAGUGACGGUACCUGCAGAAGAAGCCCCGGCCAACUACGUGCCAGCAGCCGCGGUAAUACGUAGGGGGCAAGCGUUGUCCGGAUUUAUUGGGCGUAAAGAGCUCGUAGGCGGUCGUUCACGUCGGAUGUUAAAGCUCGGGGCUCAACCCUGAGAGGCCAUUCGAUACGGAACGACUAGAGGCAGGUAGGGGAGGGUGGAAUUCCUGGUGUAGCGGUGAAAUGCGCAGAUAUCAGGAGGAACACCGGUGGCGAAGGCGGCCCUCUGGGCCUGUCCUGACGCUGAGGAGCGAAAGCUGGGGGAGCGAACAGGAUUAGAUACCCUGGUAGUCC